RNAcentral lists this long non-coding RNA (391 nucleotides) under Bemisia tabaci. RNAcentral's name for it is "lncRNA ENSASIAIIG000976". Lineage: Eukaryota; Metazoa; Arthropoda; Insecta; Hemiptera; Aleyrodidae. The record is from RNAcentral.
AGUCCAGGAUCGGGGAUUAGGCUCCGCGCGAUGCAGCCAUGUCGAGGUGCCCGUUUCCUCCGUUUGAUUGCGUUAAAAAUAUCGAUUCCCGUUGGGGGUGGCUCCAUGUAUCCAGGGUGGAGGUCACAGAACACGCGUCUCCAUUUUUUGAAGGACUUCCCGCAAAUAGAGCAGCUAGUUGGUCUUUCGUCGUGAGUUGGUUGAGGGUUGAGGCUGUCUCCUUGAUUGGAAUCGAAUUGUCCGAGGUCAAUUUUUUCCACACCGUUGCCGGCCGGUAAAGGCAAGCACCGCAUGCACCUCGACGUGGCUGUCGCAAUUCGUAGAGAACCACCCAAUUAAUUGUGGCCUCCCGGCCACCCAAUUAAUUGUGGCCUCCCGAAGAAGCUGCGUA